This is a long non-coding RNA of Mastomys coucha (southern multimammate mouse), 373 nucleotides long. RefSeq lists it as uncharacterized. The record is from RefSeq and is a predicted model, not a curated record. The transcript is spliced from 2 exons. Lineage: Eukaryota; Metazoa; Chordata; Mammalia; Rodentia; Muridae.
CCUGUCUGUGGAUACAAUGGACCAGCUGUCUCAAGCGCCGGGUCUUGACAUCCCCACCAUGAUGAGUGUACCUAGAACUCCUUCAGACUCUGGCGGUUUCUGCUUGAGGCUACUACCUGGGGAACCAAGACAAAGCUCUCUGCAGACUGUCAGAUUGUCUCUGAAGAAAGUUCACAUUGUGAUAUGACAACACCCACUGCCUGAAGAUAUCUGCAGACAUCUGAGCUGCUGGUGACCUCCGCUCCUGACUCCUCCCACGAUGUUUAUGUUUUGCAAAUAUCAAUGUAACCUAGAGAUUCAGUUUCGGUUUCUCGUGUAUACAUAGAAAUGCUGAACACCCUAAGUAAAGUACGAAGCCUUGAUUGGGGCGCAA